AAGAACGUAAGGGCCUUUUCGAAGUUCUUGAGCAAAGAGGCCGAAAGACUGUAGGCAAAGCGAAGCCAAGUGUGGUGAACCACGAGGAUUCUGUUCGAGUAAAGUUAGAAUAUGGACAAAAGAGUGACAUAAAUUCUUGCCAACAGAAUGUACCAACGAGUGCAACGGUUCAAGAUAAGAGGCGACGGAAGCCGAGACAUAAGUUCCGAAGGAAAGGACAACCCGAUUGCAAGACAAGUCGGGAAGAAGCCGAGGCAACGAGAAAGUUUCAAGGUGAAUCAAGUCAGUGUCAUCCAAAAGUCGCAACGAGGGUGUUAC
This 318-nucleotide long non-coding RNA is filed under the name Gossypium barbadense (sea-island cotton). RNAcentral describes it as "long non-coding RNA (GBAR_LNC016949)". The record is from RNAcentral. Lineage: Eukaryota; Viridiplantae; Streptophyta; Magnoliopsida; Malvales; Malvaceae.